GCAGCCCCUUCAAAACCGAGCUGUGUGCCCGGGCUGAGCCCCCACCGCGCUCCUGCACGACCCCCGCCACAGCCCCGCGCUGCCGGCUCGGCCUGCCGCGGCUCCAGACAGCCCCGCCAUGGCUGGUAUCCGGCGAGGCCACUGUGACCCCGGGGAGCUGCAGUGUGGCACUGCGUGUAUUUGACAAGCUGAGUCCGACACUCAGUGUGCAGAGUGUCAGUUUGUCAAAUACCCCAAGUGAGGCACUGCUGAGCAACGCGACGCCGAGGGUGCAGCCCUUUCCUCCUGCUCUGGCAGGAGCCUUCCUCUCCAGAAACCCAGCGAGGUACUGAGCAACACAUCCCAUUGUUCCAGAACACCCGACGGAUCCUGUGCUGCCAGGUUUCCCUUCCACCCCGGUUUUGGAAGUAUCUGUUGGGGUACCCCUUCCAAUAGUAAAUCAGAGCAGAAGUGGUGCUGGUGCAACUUCUCUGCACUGUGAAAACAGGGAAUUGAGCCCUAGGUCCUUGUUGUUUGCAUCCAAAUACAAUGCUGUUCUCUUACGCUAGCCAGCUGUAAAUUAAGCUCAGAUAACAAGCAUCCUUGCAACUACAAUCACAUCAUCACGGCUAAAGGCAGCAUUAUCCAUAAUAAAGAAUCUUGCCUUUGCACAUGUAGUAAUCUUUCUUAUAUGGAGUAGAAACUAAUGAGGCUGCUCAUUAACGUCCCUCUGACCCAUUAGCCUGUGAAAAAUGCAUGUUUGCUCAAUCUGUUUUAAAUUAGGCCAUGGAGUCCAUUGCCCCUCCUGCGAACCCUGCUGUUUGGAGAGCACUUCUUGUCUUUGCAUGGUUAUUCCUAGUCAGCACUUGCAGCAAGGUUGCCUAUUCUGCUAUUUAAUGAAAGUAAUUCCCUCUAAA
Molecule: long non-coding RNA, 896 nt
Organism: Onychostruthus taczanowskii (white-rumped snowfinch)
Lineage: Eukaryota; Metazoa; Chordata; Aves; Passeriformes; Passeridae
Exons: 2
Source: RefSeq, a predicted model, not a curated record